Molecule: RNA transcript, 5799 nt
Organism: Sceloporus undulatus (fence lizard)
Lineage: Eukaryota; Metazoa; Chordata; Lepidosauria; Squamata; Phrynosomatidae
Gene: APH1A
Gene name: aph-1 homolog A, gamma-secretase subunit
Exons: 8
Source: RefSeq, a predicted model, not a curated record
AAAGCUCCUUAGAGGAACAAGCAAACAAUGUGAUGAAUAUCACAGGAAAUGACACAAUUCGAAGAGCUGGACCGUAUCGACAUCCCCUAUUGUUCAGAGAAAAAAGAACGUCUCCUCUGGCGAGUUCUUACUUUGGUUAAAAGAGAAAAACCCAAUUAAUUAUAUUUAUUUCAUAGGCCGAACAAACUUGUGUGAUUUCAUAGAGUAGACUCUUCCCAAUGUUUGUCUCUAGGAAAAGAUUGAUACUGUUAUGGACUGGCCUUCGUCUUUGUAAAUGGCAACUUUACAUUGAAUCGAGGAGUUCCGCAAUAUCUAUAUUCACCUAGGGGCCGUUGCAAUGUUACAACAUAUGGACAUCCGUUGUGAAAUGGUGGAGUAACUGACGUGCCACAACUCGAUGUCUAAUGGAUGCUCCAUGUACAUCUGGACUUUGGCUAGGAAAGGUUGGCGCACAACUGGAGACCCCGAUGUGCCUUGCAAAUGUCCAAUGUAUUAAUCCAUUUAUAUAAGUUUUGGAUUUGCAAAGUUAUGAAACGUAGACGGUGAUGUACAAUCUCAGUCAAUAAAAUAGUAAUAAUUACAUUUAUGCUGCCAUUAGCAGAACUCAAAGGGGCCUAAACAUUUCUCAUGUAAGUUGAUGUAAAGACUGGCAUGCAUAGAUGCCAUUCAAGUGGCUGCAACCAGAAGUGACCAAUGUCUUCAGUGGUUCAAGAGUUUGGGAAAGUUACACUUGGAGCCUCGGUUUUCAUGAGGGCAGAAUCUCCUUUUCCAUGUCUUCCUCCAUUUUACCAGCAGAUUGCCGCCUGUUAGCACUUGCAGAUCGAUGGGGAAAAGAACGCAAGAUUUGCAAAGUUUCACCCUCUGCACAUUUUGAGUCUGAAUGACUGAAUUUUCAUUUGGGGACCAAUGCUCUUCUUCCCGCAUGGCUAGACCUUUGCUCUGGGACCUUCUUUGAACAUGAGCAUCCAGUAACUAUCUUUAAAUCUUUUUCCUGGUUUACUCUCUGCUUUGAGGAGAAAGAUGAGAGAAAAUAACAUACAAAGAGCAAAUAAGAUGUUUCAUUCUUCUAAAAUGAACAAAAGUCAUGAGACGUUGCUGCCUUUCAAGGAAGACAAGAUGGCCAGAAGUGAAACAGGAAGGAGGAAGGUCAGAAGAAGUCAACUGUUGGCCGAGUAUGACUAAGUUUUUGACAGUUGCAUUACUUCCUUUAUGGAUGUUUUUCCCACAUUUCUUGCCCUUCACGAAGCAAGGGUUAUGUCAACCUUUACUCGGGGUUGCCUGUUGAGGAUCAUCUCAAACGCUGAGGUUUCGAAGCCAAAACCUGAGAGCAAGGGACAAUGGUCCCUUCCGUUCUCUAUUUGAAAGACCAUUUUCUCCCUUAGGAACCAGCCCAUGCUUUGAGCUCUUUCGGGGAGGCCCUUUACUCCAUCCCACCGCCCUCAAAGUAAUAUUUGAUGGGAACGCGGGAGACACAGGGCCUUUUUGGUGGUUCUGAAAAGCCCCUUCCAGAAAGGUUAGACUGGUAUUCUCCCUAUUUUCUUUUCACAAGUAAGAAAAGACUUUUCUGUUUCGGUACACAUUUGAUGACUGACUGUAAGCAAUGUGCUUAAAGAAUCUGCUAAUUGUUGUGCUGGUGUGCAUAUAUGUGUGUGUGUGUGUGUAACACAUAUACCAUGUUUUAAUCUUGUUUUAAACAUUUUGGUUGGUCAAUCUUUGCAUCUUGUGACUGUUUAACAGUGUGUUUUUUAACUUGUUGUUCGCUGUUUGAGUCCUGAACUGGGGGAAGAGAAGGAUAGAGAUAAAUAUCAUCAUCAUCAUUAUCAUCAUCAUUAUCAUCAUCAUCAAGUUGGAUGCUGAAUGGAGCAGAGAGCGAGUCCUGGCCCCACAAUGACUGCAAGGGAAGGAGGAAGGAACAAACUGGAUCCAUGCCUUAUCCCCAACUUUCACAAACUGGAACUGCAGAGGCUGAUAAGAUGAAAACUGGACCUGCAACACUGUGGAGACACCACCCAAAAACGGAUGGUUAGCAAUGUACACUGCAUACCUUCCAACAUUUCACAGAGGGGAACUGGGAAUCCUGAGGCCAAGCCACACUGGGACGUGGUCAAGAGGGCAAAAGUGAUCAAUGAGGAAGAACAGCCAAGCUAUGAUUAGUUGCAGCGGUGUGCUUUUGCCUUAUCUGACUGAGAAGGGCAUGAUUCAGCUGCCUCCUCUUCUGUCCUCUCCCUCCUGCUGAGUUAAUGGAGGGCAAACUGCUUUGGCAUUUGGAUCUCAAUUUGCAAGAAGACAAGUAAGCUGGGGUUGAAAGAGGAAGGUAGGAGAGAGAGUGAGAAACCUGGACUCCCAAGAGUGAUUAAAGGGGACUGCCCUUGCCAAAUUGGGCAAGUUGGAGGGGAUGAAAGAGGGAACCAUCUUGCAAAGGCUGAGGGGGAAGGAGCCAUGCAAAGCCUUACCUGCCCAAGCCAGGAUGCAGUCCUUGGCCAAGAACAUCUCUGGAGCCCAGCAGCCCCCUCAGCACCAGAGGAAUGAGUCCCGACCCAAAGGCAAUGCCUCUGGAGGGUAGCUUCAAGGGGAGGUCUGAGGUCUUCCAGUUUGUUGCAAAGGAACAGCCCUCUUCCAGUGGGUGGUGCCACAUGAUGCUGGUGCCACUGGUUGCCCCCACUGAAAGCUAGAGAGGCCUUGGGCACAAGAGAGGAGGAACCAGCUCUGUCUACCUGGAAGACCAUUCCCCCCGCAAACAACCUCUGCUCCUUUGGGCUUCAGGUCAGGUCCUUUUGCUUCUCCAGCUUCAGCUCUUGCUUUUUGACUUUUCUGCUACCAACUGUGCCUGGCUUUGCUCUUGGGGAGGUUUGGGAUGCCUCUGAAGCACAGAACGAUGGGCAUGGGUCUUUGGCCGGGGUCAGAGUCUUAGCUGUAUUAUGAAGGUUUUUUCCAUCCAAAUAUUGAUAGAGAUAUUUUUAUCCCAUGCCUAUUAUUUUAAAGGAAUGCCAGGGAGCAUUUGGAUUUUCUACAUCAGAUGUCAGGGUGUCUUCCUAAAACUUCUCACUUUCAUGCUUUCAAACGGAAGAGUUAAAAUCUCAAAGCAUCCCAAGAGGUUCUUCCACGAAUCCUCCCAGUUGCGUUUUGGGGGGAACAUCUUGUGGCUUUCAUUCUUGGCUUCCACAGAAAUUGCUAGCAAACUGCAAGACGCCACGGAAGAAAGGGGACAAGGUGAGAUUCGCUCACCUGCCAGCCUCGUUCGGAGCUCACAAACCGUGGGGCCUCUUUGCUAGAGAUGCUCUUCCAUUGCCUUGGGAUGAUCCUCCUUUCUCUGCACACUGCUGAGCCACUGGGAAAUUCACAGAGUCUCCAAAGAUUGCCUCAGAUCUUGGCAUUUGCUGGGGAUUCUGUCACCAUCAACUGCAACGUUUCAGCAGGAAAAGGUUUGAUGCCAUUGCUGACUUGGUUCAAGGAGGAGCAGGACAGAAGCUUACGGAAGAUUGAGGAAAGGAGCUCUAAAUACUCCAGAAGAGAAUCAAGCCUGACCAACAGAGUGAAUCUGACCCUCCAUCGUGUGCAAAGGAAUGACUCUGGGGUUUAUUACUGCCGUGCGUAUGUCCGGAUUGUGAGUGGAACCAGACUGAUAGUCUCAGAUGCUCAAAAUCCAAGUCUGUCCAUCUUUCUGCUUUCCUCCUUGGAAGGGGCUCAGCGCAACCACAGCCUCCCCCUCCUUUGCUUCCUCCCCAAUGCAAACCCUUCUAGGGAUAAGAUCUCUUGGGAUGUUGGUGGAGAAACAUCUCAGGAAGACCAAGCAGAUGUUGGCAUGAUAAAUGUGGAAGGAGUCUUCAGCAUCUGGAGUCUGAAGCUGAUUCCUCCAGAGAGACAGAUCCCAGGCACAUACUAUUCUUGCUUGAAUAAAGGAAACAGACACCUCAGCGCCAUGAUUCUGAUGGAUCCCUUGCCCAGAGGAAAAUGCCUUCGCAUAUUAUAUUUUGGGAUACCCUGCGUUGUCAUUCUCCUCUCAGUUCUAGCCUUGAUCCUCUUGUUCAGGAAGCAUCUCUUUGGAGGAGAAGUUGAGAAACAAGCUCAUGAAAUACCCAUGAGGCAGAUUCAACAGAUGCUUCAGGUCCAAGUCUCUCCAUCUUUCUGCCUUCCUACUUGGAAGGGGCUCAACCCAACCACAGCCUCCCCCUCCUUUGCCUCUCCUUCAAUGCAAAUCCUUCUGGGGACAAGAUCUCUUGGGAUGUUGGUGGAGAAACAUCUCAGGAAGACCAGGCAGAUGUUGGCAUGAUAGAUGGGGAAGGAACCUUCAGCAUCUGGAGUCUGAAGCUGGUUCCUCCAGAGAGAUGGAUCCCGGGGACAUCCUACACUUGCUCAGAUCAAGGGAACAGAAGCAUUAGUGCUAUAAUUCCCACAGAGACCAUGCCUAGAGGAAAAUGCUUUCCCAGAUUAUAUUUUGGGAUCCCUUGCAUGGUUGUUCUCCUGUCAGCGCUACUCUUGAUCCUCUUCUUCAGGAAGCAACUCUUUGGAGGGAAAGUUAAGAAACCAGCCCAUGAAAUAACUGUGGGGCAGAUUCCACAGACGGAAUAUGCAGAAUUCCGAUGCAACAGAUGAAGGAACAGUGGUUUUCCAACGAAUUGAUUCUGGUUGCAAUUCAUGCCAGUGUUUGAAGAACGGAAGACACAAGGAAGGAAGCCAAAUUUCAGUUUUAACUGGGUCACCGUAGUUGUUUGUAUUAAAUGAAAUGUCCGCUCUACACACUUGCGACUGGUGUCCUCAUUCACACAAGUGUAUCCUCUUGGCCACACACUCGGUGUGAUGCUGGCAAGGAAAUGCCGUGAGAUGCGGCAAUGGCUUGCCGUCAUCCCUUCAGACGUUCCCUUGGGAUUCUCACCUUUUCUUCCUCUUCCCUCUCCUUGAAGGAAAUUCCAGCUGAGCGUAGUAGCAAACGCCUUCCUGUUUCACAAACAGGAGGCAACAGUUUGUUUGCUUGUCUUAAUGGGAGCCCGUUUUUCUCCAGAGGCAUGCGUUGUGUGACAGUUGGCAUACACACCCAACAGAAAUAAAACCAAUUGCAAAGCUAAACCAGUUCCAAAACCCGUUAGUUUGGUGGCUCCUUCUGCUCUUUGCGGGAAGGCCUUUCCAUCCGCUCUGGGCUUUAGUCUGAACUUUAAAACCUAUCGGUCUUGCGGAAAGAGAAGACAACAAGAAUAGCAAUGGCAGCAAUACCAUCUGAGGAAGUAGACUGAGAUCUAGGGAAGCUAAUGCUGCCAAUGUCUUUCUUUCAGUUAGUCUCAAAGGUGCUAUAAGAUCUCUCUACAUGCUUUACAGACUAACAUGGCUAUAUCGGUGCUUGUGUGUUGUAUUUUAAGGGUAAGGUUGUUGUGGUUAUGCACCUUAAAGUUCAGGGCAACCUAUGGCAAAUGUCAUGGGGAUUUCUUGGGCAGAUAUCAUCAUCACAGGAGUGUUGCAUUGCCUUCCUCCGAGGCUGAGAGAGUGGGGCUUUCCCAAGGAAACACAAUGGCUUUGCAUGGGCAAGCCGGGAUUCAAACCCUGGUCCAGCAGAGUCCUUGUCCAGAACUGAAGCCACGAUAGGCCACUGUCUCUCAAAGGGUGAGAAAUACAUUGUUAGAAGGUGCAAGAAAGGAGAUUCUGUUUAAUAUUUAGGCAGGAAACCUUGAAUAUCAGAACUGUUUGGCAGAGGAAUAUGGACUGCCUUGGGGGCUGCUGGAGUCUCCUUUAAACAGAGGUUGGAUGGCAUAUUUUGGGAGUGUAUUGUUUGUUUAUUUAUUUACGGUAUUAAUACCCCCCUCUUCAUCC